CUACGUGCCAGCAGCCGCGGUAAUACGUAGGGGGCAAGCGUUAUCCGGAUUUAUUGGGUUUAAAGGGUGCGUAGGUUGUUCGGUAAGUCAGCGGUGAAACCUGAGCGCUCAACGUUCAGCCUGCCGUUGAAACUGCCGGGCUUGAGUUCAGUGGCGGCAGGCGGAAUUCGUGGUGUAGCGGUGAAAUGCAUAGAUAUCACGAGGAACUCCGAUUGCGAAGGCAGCUUGCCAUACUGCGACUGACACUGAAGCACGAAGGCGUGGGUAUCAAACAGGAUUAGAUACCCUGGUAGUCCACGCAGUAAACGAUGAUUACUAGGAGUUUGCGAUAUACCGUCAAGCUUCCACAGCGAAAGCGUUAAGUAWUCCACCUGGGGAGUACGCCGGCAACGGUGAAACUCAAAGGAAUUGACGGGGGCCCGCACAAGCGGAGGAACAUGUGGUUUAAUUCGAUGAUACGCGAGGAACCUUACCCGGGAUUGAA
Molecule: ribosomal RNA, 484 nt
Filed under: uncultured bacterium
Lineage: Bacteria
Description: bacterial SSU rRNA
Rfam family: Bacterial small subunit ribosomal RNA
Source: RNAcentral